This 395-nucleotide ribosomal RNA is filed under the name uncultured Alphaproteobacteria bacterium. RNAcentral describes it as "bacterial SSU rRNA". It matches the Rfam family "Bacterial small subunit ribosomal RNA", at positions 9 to 430 of the family's 1533-position model. The record is from RNAcentral. Lineage: Bacteria; Pseudomonadati; Pseudomonadota; Alphaproteobacteria.
GAGUUUGAUCUUGGCUCAGAACGAACGCUGGCGGCAGGCUUAACACAUGCAAGUCGAACGGACGUAGCAAUACGUUAGUGGCGCACGGGUGAGUAACGCGUGGAUAUCUGCCUUUUGGUUCGGGAUAACCUUGGGAAACUAGGGCUAAUACCGAAUGGUUCCUACGGGAUAAAGAUUUAUCGCCAAAAGAUGAGUCCGCGUCCGAUUAGCUAGUUGGCGGGGUAACGGCCCACCAAGGCGACGAUCGGUAGCUGGCCUGAGAGGACGAUCAGCCACACUGGGACUGAGACACGGCCCAGACUCCUACGGGAGGCAGCAGUGGGGAAUAUUGCACAAUGGGCGCAAGCCUGAUGCAGCAACGCCGCGUGCAUGAUGAAGGCCUUCGGGUCGUAAAA